Molecule: ribosomal RNA, 218 nt
Filed under: uncultured bacterium
Lineage: Bacteria
Description: partial 16S ribosomal RNA
Rfam family: Bacterial small subunit ribosomal RNA
Source: RNAcentral
CCGUCUCAGUUCGGAUUGCAGGCUGCAACUCGCCUGCAUGAAGCUGGAAUUGCUAGUAAUCGCGGAUCAGCAUGCCGCGGUGAAUACGUUCCCGGGCCUUGUACACACCGCCCGUCACACCAUGAGAGUCGGGAACACCCGAAGUCCGUAGUCUAACCGCAAGGAGGGCGCGGCCGAAGGUGGGUCCGGUAAUUGGGGUGAAGUCGUAACAAGGUAAC